UGAGGCUUUUGUUGAACUUUGUCCUUUCAUCAUUUCUCCUUCCCUUUCUUGAACAAUUCGUACCCUCCUGUGCAUUAAUGAAUGCGGUUUUUUGCUAUUUGUGCUUGUGAUUGUACCGUUUUAAAUGUUGCCGUGUUCUGUUCUGUUUUCUUUUUAAUCAUUAUAGCGUGUCACACCAAACGAAGCGACGGUUCACUGCAAGGAGUCAGUGAGGCGUCUCGUCCAAGGAGUCAAUCAUUGCUCGGACUCUAUAAAAGGAACUUCUCGGAGAUGAGUGUUCUUCACCCCAACGAUUUCUCUUCGCCUUUCCUCUGAAAAAA
Molecule: small RNA, 320 nt
Filed under: Arabidopsis thaliana (thale cress)
Lineage: Eukaryota; Viridiplantae; Streptophyta; Magnoliopsida; Brassicales; Brassicaceae
Description: ATSL282830
Source: RNAcentral